GGUGGCUCAGUGGUAGAGUGCUUGCCUCACAUGCAUAAGGCCCUAGGUUCGAUUCCUCAGCACCA
RNAcentral lists this transfer RNA (65 nucleotides) under Dipodomys ordii (Ord's kangaroo rat). It matches the Rfam family "tRNA". Rfam says of the family: Transfer RNA (tRNA) molecules are approximately 80 nucleotides in length. Their secondary structure includes four short double-helical elements and three loops (D, anti-codon, and T loops). The record is from Rfam by way of RNAcentral. Lineage: Eukaryota; Metazoa; Chordata; Mammalia; Rodentia; Heteromyidae.